RNAcentral lists this ribosomal RNA (403 nucleotides) under uncultured bacterium. RNAcentral describes it as "partial 16S ribosomal RNA". It matches the Rfam family "Bacterial small subunit ribosomal RNA", at positions 30 to 526 of the family's 1533-position model. The record is from RNAcentral.
AUUGAACGCUGGCGGCAGGCCUAACACAUGCAAGUCGAGCGAGCGGCGGACGGGUGAGUAAUGUAUGGGGACUGCCCGUUAGAGGGGGAUAACUACUGGAAACUGUGUCUUAUACCGCAUACUAUCGGAUAACCCAUAUGGGAUUGGCGAGUUGGGGGGGUAAAGGCUCACUUAGGCGACGAUCUCUAGCUGGUCUGAGAGGAUGAUCAGCCACACUGGAACUGAGACACGGCCCAGACUCCAACGGAGGCAGCAGUGGGGAAUAUUGGACAAUGGGCGCAAGCCUGAUGCAGCCAGGCCGCGUGUAUGAAGAAGGCCUUAGGGUUGUAAAGUACUUUCAGCGGGGAGGCGUUACCCGCAGAAGAAGCACCGGCUAACUCCGUGCCAGCAGCCGCGGUAAUAC